Molecule: non-coding RNA, 84 nt
Organism: Acanthosepion pharaonis
Lineage: Eukaryota; Metazoa; Mollusca; Cephalopoda; Sepiida; Sepiidae
Source: the annotation of a GenBank genome assembly
UUCCCGUGUGAUCACCGAAGUUAAGCAAUGCCGAGUCUGGUCAAUAUCUAGAUGGGUGACCUCCUGGGAAUACCAAGUGAAGCA